Long non-coding RNA from Pantherophis guttatus, 288 nucleotides. RefSeq lists it as uncharacterized. Lineage: Eukaryota; Metazoa; Chordata; Lepidosauria; Squamata; Colubridae. The record is from RefSeq and is a predicted model, not a curated record.
AGGGAAAUAUAAAAAAAUCAUACAGAUGCAUAGAAAACAAAAGAUGGAGUUCUUGCUCUCCUCUACAAAGUUUGAAGAGAAAAAGCAGAAGAAGAAGAACAAAAAAGAGGAACAGGAGAUAAUAUGCUACGUUUUCGUAUCAACAGUUCUGUAGCUUGUAAAACAUGUGAAUCAAUUCCAGUCUUUUUUAAUCAAUUCCAAAUCAAUUCCAAAUCCCGAAAAAAUAUUCUUAAAUUGAUACAAAUUAUGCAUGCAGAGAAUAUUAAAUGGUAUUUUCAGCCAGGCUAA